Molecule: ribosomal RNA, 465 nt
Filed under: uncultured bacterium
Lineage: Bacteria
Description: partial 16S ribosomal RNA
Rfam family: Bacterial small subunit ribosomal RNA
Source: RNAcentral
GACGAACGCUGGCGGUGUGCUUAACACAUGCAAGUCGAACGGUAAGGCCCUUUCGUGGGUACACGAGUGGCGGACGGGUGCGUAACACGUGCGUAACCUGCACUUAUCUCUGGGAUAACAGUCGGAAACGGUUGCUAAUACUGGUUAUGAGCCUGCUAUGCAUCUUGUUGGUUGGAAAGAUUUUGUGGUUGGUGAUGGAUUCGCUGCGUAUCAGCUUGUUGGUGUGGUUGUGGCUCACCAAGGCGUCGUCGGGUAGCCGCACUGUGAGGGCGACCGGCCAUACUGGGACUGAGAGACGGCCGAAACACCUACGGUAGGCAGCAGGGGGGAAUAUUGAACAAGGGACGGAAGGCUGAUGCAGCAGCGCCGCGGGCGGUAUGACGCCCUUCGUGUUGUAAACCGCAUUCAAAUGUGACGAAGCAUUUUGUGACGGUAGCAGUAGAAGAAGCACCGGCUAACUACGUG